This 328-nucleotide long non-coding RNA is filed under the name Coturnix japonica (Japanese quail). RNAcentral's name for it is "lncRNA (ENSCJPG00005004370.1)". Lineage: Eukaryota; Metazoa; Chordata; Aves; Galliformes; Phasianidae. The record is from RNAcentral.
AGAAAAGGAAGUGGAAGAAUUCGAAGUGUUCUAAUUUGAGAGGAGGUUAUAGUACCAUAUUAUUAAGUUCAAACUGCUUCUUGCCUCAAAUCAAGAAGAAAACCACUCUCUUUUUGACUAAAGCCAGGUACUAUGUGUGAUCUGUGGCUCUUCUGAACUUCUGGCUUUGGCUGUUUGGAAAAUAUUGGGUCUUUUUGAAUCCAGCUAUGUGCUAAACAGAGGGCUCUGUGGACAAUCAAGUGGCAAGAUGCACAACCCAGUGUUUGUAGUGAAAGCAUAUACCAGACAAAACAUCAGCUUUCCUGACUUCUGGAAUUAACCUCUAAUU